UAAUCAUCCAUCUUCUCCACUUGGUCCCACAUCUCUGCAUAACCCUGAGUAUCACAGCGCUGACCAGGAUUUACUGUUUCUUAUUCUUUUCCUGACCGAGAGGACAACGUCUCAUGCUGGGCUGAAAGAAGACAUUAAUAAAGAGCUAUGCAGUGACCUCUUGCCUGUUGGUCCAAUGCUAUGCCCAUCUUACUUCCACUUCAGUGACUUCCUGCCUCCUACUGCGAGGGGCUGAUCUGCAACAAAGGCAACAGGAGGGGUGGCCUUGUUCUGCUAUUCUUGAUGUCCAGAGGACCCACCGAUCUCAGUGUCAUUUAAUUCACUGUGACCGCUACCCACACAGAAACUCCAGAGUGUUCACAUGGAGAGGAAGGGUUGUUUAUUAUUAUUAUUAUUAUUAUUAUUAAUCUACUGAGGAUUUGUGUCAUUGCAGCCUAGUCUAGCCUGGGAUGACCGACACACCAGAAUCCUAAUGGACAAAGCCCUGCUCUCUGUAUCUCCAGUUCCUAGCCCUGGGUGGAUGGUUGCUCAGGAAAUUCACAGCAGACACCCGGACGAACCCACCAACAAGGCAUCACUACCAUUUUGAGCAGAACAAAGUGGCAUCAGAACAUGACCUGCGGACAACCAACUAUUAUCUUGGCUACAGCAACAUGGAUGUUUGGGGCCUGAGGGACUCUGAACGAUACAUCAAGCUGCACUGUGACACCUGGUCAGAGCCCUGCUCAGGAUGAGGCCCGUUCUGCUUUCAUGCCUUUGGGAAGAAAUGGCCAUUGCUGCAGCUUCUCAGGAAAUGACAGCACACGGAAUGUGUUUGCUGAAAUCGUAAGAGUUCUCAGGAGCGUAGCUAGAAAGCCACUGAUGUCUUCCCAUCACAUCGUAUCCCAGAAGGGAAGUGGAGGCCUGGAGGCGUCAGCUCUUGCUACUCCGCACUUAGCAGGUGCCGUGGAGGAGGGGAUUCAGAGGACUCAGUGCUGCGAGAAGCCUGCCGGGGGCAGCAUUCUGAGGCCUGGGCUUUCGUCCUAAGUGAAGAUGUCAUUGGUGAGGCCUGAACGUUCGGUACCAGCUUUGCUCGUCCCCGACUCAAGUGACCGGAGCCACGCUGCAGGUCUGUCUUUGCCCUCCAGAGAGGAGGGAGUGCUGGCCCGUGGUCCGUUUUCCGGAGGAAUGGAGUUGUUUGCUUGGCGCUGACAGCGUCUCUCCGGCAGCUGCGGGGCCCUGGUAGGAUGCGUUCCACGCUCUGUGCUUCCCAGCGGGACGGCAGAUUCUUUCUCCUAGGAGGAGCCUCAAUCAUUUUCCCAUGGUCAACCCCAUAAAUAUUUCAUAUCUCAACUUGCGCUGAAGGGUGGCCUUUGAGAUUUUGAAAAAUUAGGUCGCAAUGGGUUUGACCUGAGCCAAAUGGUGAGAGGCUGAGUGGUGAAGAAGUAGCUCCCUUUGUUAUCCAUCACAGACGGAGGCAGGUGCACGAUUGUUCCUAGAGCAGUUUUCGUGCAUAAAACAUCCUGUACGUGGAGAACACUGUCAGAUGGCGGAAUGCAUCACGUUUAUUUCUGAGACGUGGUCGCCUGUUUGUCCCUGUGUUUGGUAAAUACACUGCUGUUAAGUUGAGUGGAUGGCUGUCAGUUCUGUUUCCUUUCAAGACAUCCAGUCGAUAUGAGAGUCUUGCCAACCAUCUAGUUGUUUCCUGUAAGUUGCAUAUUUAUUUGUCUGUCCUUGAUUUGGUGAACUUAUGGACAUCGGUAAUGGCACAGUUUUCCGCUGGAGUCUGCUUCCUCCUCUCCACUCAGUCCUGCAGAUGUGCCCUGCUGGCUGUCCCCUGAACGUGCCGGGUGUCACUCAUCUCAACGUCCCACUCUUCCGGCUCGACAAGCUCCCGAUUACAUAGAAACAAAUUAAUUUCACCCCACAAUGACCCCAUCAAUUAAAAUAGAGGAUCUGUUUCAAUAGACCAUUUAUCUCUUUAAGACAGAAGGAGGGGAAUGCCUAAGUCACAAAAUCCACAGUAAAUCCUGUUGGUUGCACAAUU
This is a long non-coding RNA of Oryctolagus cuniculus (rabbit), 2026 nucleotides long. The record is from Ensembl. NCBI's taxonomy places the organism in Eukaryota, Metazoa, Chordata, Mammalia, Lagomorpha, Leporidae.